RNAcentral lists this ribosomal RNA (506 nucleotides) under uncultured bacterium. Its description in RNAcentral is "partial 16S ribosomal RNA". It matches the Rfam family "Bacterial small subunit ribosomal RNA", at positions 29 to 523 of the family's 1533-position model. The record is from RNAcentral.
AGUGAACGCUGGCGGUAGGCCUAACACAUGCAAGUCGAACGGCAGCACAGGAGAGCUUGCUCUCUGGGUGGCGAGUGGCGGACGGGUGAGGAAUACAUCGGAAUCUACUCUGUCGUGGGGGAUAACGUAGGGAAACUUACGCUAAUACCGCAUACGACCUACGGGUGAAAGCAGGGGACCUUCGGGCCUUGCGCGAUUGAAUGAGCCGAUGUCGGAUUAGCCAGUUGGCGGGGUAAAGGCCCACCAAGGCGACGAUCCGUAGCUGGUCUGAGAGGAUGAUCAGCCACACUGGAACUGAGACACGGUCCAGACUCCUACGGGAGGCAGCAGUGGGGAAUAUUGGACAAUGGGCGCAAGCCUGAUCCAGCCAUACCGCGUGGGUGAAGAAGGCCUUCGGGUUGUAAAGCCCUUUUGUUGGGAAGGAAAUCCAGCUGGCUAAUACCCGGUUGGGAUGACGGUACCCAAAGAAUAAGCACCGGUUAACUUCGUGCCAGCCGCCGCAGUAA